AAAAAAUCCCAUAAUGCUCGUCGCACCGGCUGUGUUUGAAUGUUAAAAGUAAGAACCCGAUAGACUUUAAUAUGGUUUUCAUGUGUCUGGGAUGUACAGUGGAGGAGACGUCAAGACGGUCCAGAAAAUGACUCGUUUCUCAUAUUAUGGACGCUAGGAAGCAUUGAUUUGCAACGGAACGUAUUUAAGGUCAGUCACAAUCACUCCAAUGGCCUUCUGCAACCGUGCCUGCAUCGUUUUGUUGCAGAGAACAUGAAGCAGGUGGAUAUAAUAAAUAAGAAGAAUUAGAAAGAUUUCAAGUCCAUCAUAGAGUCCAAAGUCCAAGCAAAGGUAGACGUGUGUCCUCUUGCAAAAGGAAAGGCCGUCCAUUGGUGGAGGUGGGCUUCAAGCUGCACCGCAGAUCGUCAAAUGUAGGCUGUGGCUGUGACCCCGGCAUGGCCAACAAAGAGAAUGAGAUGACAUGCUCCGAUGAUGUGCGCUGUUUUCACUACAAUGACCACGGUGGGCUUCCUGUGAAUUCUGCAGAGGCCUCAAAGAUGGCUGGGGCCAGCUCCAAGCACAGUGACUUUACUGAGCUGUCCAAGGAUCAUGA
This is a long non-coding RNA of Thalassophryne amazonica, 592 nucleotides long. RefSeq lists it as uncharacterized. The transcript has 5 exons. Lineage: Eukaryota; Metazoa; Chordata; Actinopteri; Batrachoidiformes; Batrachoididae. The record is from RefSeq and is a predicted model, not a curated record.